GACGAACGCGGGCGGCGUGCUUAACACAUGCAAGUCGAACGGAAAGGCCCUGCUUUUGUGGGGUGCUCGAGUGGCGAACGGGUGAGUAACACGUGAGUAACCUGCCCUUGACUUUGGGAUAACUUCAGGAAACUGGGGCUAUACCCGGAUAGGAGCUCUUGCUCCAUGGUGGGGGUUGGAAAGUUUCGGCGGUUGGGGAUGGACUCGCGGCUUAUCAGCUUGUUGGUGGGGUAGUGGCUUACCAAGGCUUUGACGGGUAGCCGGCCUGAGAGGGUGACCGGCCACAUUGGGACUGAGAUACGGCCCAGACUCCUACGGGAGGCAGCAGUGGGGAAUAUUGCACAAUGGGCGGAAGCCUGAUGCAGCAACGCCGCGUGCGGGAUGACGGCCUUCGGGUUGUAAACCGCUUUCGCCUGUGACGAAGCGUGAGUGACGGUAAUGGGUAAAGAAGCACCGGCUAACUACGUG
RNAcentral lists this ribosomal RNA (468 nucleotides) under uncultured bacterium. RNAcentral describes it as "partial 16S ribosomal RNA". It matches the Rfam family "Bacterial small subunit ribosomal RNA", at positions 28 to 507 of the family's 1533-position model. The record is from RNAcentral.